RNAcentral lists this small RNA (24 nucleotides) under Arabidopsis thaliana (thale cress). RNAcentral describes it as "ATSL108450". The record is from RNAcentral. Lineage: Eukaryota; Viridiplantae; Streptophyta; Magnoliopsida; Brassicales; Brassicaceae.
AACAAAAACAAAAGAAGAAAAGCA